This is a non-coding RNA of Caenorhabditis elegans, 21 nucleotides long. The record is from Ensembl. NCBI's taxonomy places the organism in Eukaryota, Metazoa, Nematoda, Chromadorea, Rhabditida, Rhabditidae.
GACUACGUUCAAAAAAAAUCA